RNAcentral lists this long non-coding RNA (1308 nucleotides) under Astyanax mexicanus (Mexican tetra). RNAcentral describes it as "lncRNA (ENSAMXG00005005917.1)". Lineage: Eukaryota; Metazoa; Chordata; Actinopteri; Characiformes; Acestrorhamphidae. The record is from RNAcentral.
GUUGUAUUAAAAAUACUUUUAUAUUUUAACUUGUGCUCCAUUCUUUUAUUUAUUAUUUACUCUGUAGCCUUCGUUUGUAUGUACUUAUUUAUGAUCCCUGUCUUUUUUGUCGCUAUAUUUCCAUAUUAAGUUGGUAAUAAAAUAAAAUAAAAAAAAAAUCUAACUAGAGCCAAAUUCCGGUCGGCAUGAAAAAAACUUUUUUCAAAAUAAAGGUUUAACUGAACAAAAAAAAAAAUAGCUUAGCUAAGCUAGCUCGCAGCAGUCAACUAUAGUUAGCUAGCUAAUACGCCUAUUUAUAUUUACUAAUUUAUUUAUAAUUUUAGAAAUAAUUACUUAUUAUAUGUUACAUGUAUUUAUCCGCUAUUAUGUGCUAAAUGCGGAUUUUUGAGUGAUAUUUGUAGCCUUUUGUUUGGACCGGGCCGCCCGCAGAAUCCUUUAGCUCUCUGUGUUUAUUAACCUAACUUUAUUAGUUAGCUGAUAAAACUAGAUUAUUAUUAUUAUUUAUUAGCUGUAAUUUGGAGGUUUGGGCAGUCAUGUCGUGCUCUGCUCUGGGCUGCGUUAACAGAUACUCUGCGGAGAGUAAUCUGCAGUUUUUCCGUUUUCCGUUUGGUGAGCAGGAUACACGCAGACUGAUGCAGUGGGUGGCGAAUAUGAGACGUGAGGACUGGAAGCCCACCAAGUUCUCUCGUCUCUGUAGUCUUCACUUCGAGGAGCACCAUUUCACCACAAACUCUAGGGUAAGACAUAAUAAGGUUUCCUGCUGAUGGUAAUUGUCACUGGUGUCACUAUUAAAUCUGUGUAUUAUGGGGGUGGAAGGGGGUGUGCCAUAUCGUAUUGUACACAAUUAUAUCGCCAAAUAAUCUGACAGAAUUAAAGAAGCACUAAACCCUAAACCAGGGGUCGGCAAUUACGUUUGGCCAGAUAUUUUUCAAGCCAUUACGUGGCCACAAAAAAUGUGUAAUGAGUUGGAGUGUUACAGACUAGUAGCUCUCCAGCCCAUUGGGCUGUUAAACCCAAUUGCAGAACAGUUAAUCUCAAAGCAGGUAAACCCAAGAAGAAAGGAAACAAAUUGAACGAUUGAACGGAUUGAGCCCGUGUCAUCAGGGUCACGGUCCAAUACACUAUUGCUGCCCCGGGUAGUGAAUUGGGACACGGCCGGGAAAAAAACGCCCUUAUAACAAGACAGGGAGCUCAAAAACAGGCGGAAAAACAAGAACGGGUGGAAACUAAAGUCACGCCAAGCGCGACAUAAAGAGACAAGGGAGGUAUUGUAAACAAAAGCUCACCAGAGAAGCAUUUUAAUUUUCA